CCUUGUGUAGUUUGCGCCGCGGAGCCCAGACCCUUCCCUUCAGCCCGCACCCGUACCCGCACCCAGCGCUAAAAGCUUUCUGCCUCAGGCCUCUACUCCAUUAGCUGUACGUUACGCUCCUUCACAUCUGGGGUGCUCACUUCGUCGCCCCUUCUCACCGUCCUAAGGGUGACCCUUUUCUAUUCAGGCUCACUGACACCUGCGGCUGAAGACUCUGGGUUUUUUCCUCAAGACAUCUCUGAUGCUGGGUAGUCAACAGUUAGGAAGUUUCCUCGGCGGUUCUUUGAGCUCUGGACUUAAAGAACGAUAGAUGUCCAGUUUUCUUGGGUUGUGAGUCCGUGUCUGCCAGGGUAAGGGAUGGGUUAGCCAGAACACUUGUCAAGCAGACCAUGGCUUGGUUAAGAGAGCGUAUUUACCGGCUAGAAGUCAAGGACAGCCAAACAUAACAGGUGAAAUUAAUUUUAGUAAUUAUAUUUUACUUCGUACCAUAUAUUCAGAGUACCACCACUUCACACGUACUCAGUAUACAGAAUAUUAAUACGAUUUUUUUUAUUGUUUUAAAGAUUUUGUGGCCGGCGCUGCGGCUCACUAGGGUAAUCCUCCGCCUGCGGCGCUGGCACACCGGGUUCUAGUCCCGGUCGGGGAGCCGGAUUCUGUCCCGGUUGCCCCUCUUCCAGGCCAGCUCUCUGCUGUGGCCCGGGAGUGCAGUGGAGGAUGGCCCAGGUGCUUGGGCCCUGCACCCCAUGGGAGACCAGGAUAAGUACCUGGCUCCUGGCUUCAGAUCAGCGCGGUGCGCCGGUCGCAGCACGCUGGCCACAACGGCCAUUGAGCGGUGAACCAAUGGAAAAGGAAGACCUUUCUCUCUGUCUCUCUCUCUCACUGUCCACUCUGCCUGUCAAAAAAAAAUUAAAAAAAAAAGAUUUUGUUUAUUUAUUUGAGAGGCAGAGUUAUGGAGAGAAAGGUCCACCUGUUCACUCCCCAAAUGCCUGCAGUGGCCGGAGCUGGGCUGAUACAAGGCCAAGGAGCCAGGAGCUUCCUCCUGGUCUCCAACACGGGUGCAGGGGCCCAAGCACUUGGACCAUGUUCCAUUGCUUUCCCAGGCCAUUAACAGAGCUGGAUAGGAAGAGGAGUAGCUGGGACCUGAACUGGCACCUAUAUGGGUUGCUGGCACUGCAGGUAGAUGCUUAGCCUACCAUGCCACAGUGCUGGCCCUGAUUUUUUAUUUUUUACAUUAAGUCUUAGAAAUAUGGUUUGUUUUUUACACUUAAAGCACAUAUGUAUAUCAGUUUGGACUAAUUACGUUGUGAGUGUUCAGUUACAUGUGGCUAAUGAACAGCUCUGGGGUAGACCAAGAACUAGUCAUAGAAAUGAAUCUAGUGCCAAGUUGUACUGAAGAAACAGACUGUAAAAAAUAAUUACUGAUUUUUGUGGGCCUCCUGUGUGUUAGGAACUGUGUUAGACAUUUUACAUUGUUAUUUGUUUCUUGCAAAAGCAUUACAUGGUGGACACCUUUUUUAAAAUUUUUAAAAUUUAGGAAGGUAAACGUCUGCUCUAAGGAGCAGACAGCUGGGCGCGCACAUUCGUAGCAGAAGGAAACCAUCUGGAACUGGGGCCGACCGUGCUGGCCGACGCGAAGCAUGUGUGCGCCCGCACCAGGAUUGCUCUGUGUCCCCACAGAUGAAUGAUGUCAGGCUGGGAAUUCCCUCCACAGGGAUCUGGCCUGAUUGAGAUGCAGUUCUACAAAUGCGUAUGUUUGUCUCAUCUUUUUGUAUAGUUUAUUAAAGUAUUAAUAUAGUUUUAAUAAGUAAAUAUUUGUAGGUUGCAAAACUGACUCCUCAUCUUUAUAUACUUACACACACACACACACACACACACACUCACCCAAAAACACCUCGGAAUAUGAAGAAAAUAAAUAAAGGCUGCGUACUCAGUGCUGUCAGUGUCACAUCUUUCAGCCUCUGAAAUAUUGAUCAUUGUUAAUUUGUUCUCAUUUCUAAGUAAUAAAUUGCAUUGUAUUUGUUCAAAAAAAAAAA
Oryctolagus cuniculus (rabbit) is the source of this 2033-nucleotide non-coding RNA. Lineage: Eukaryota; Metazoa; Chordata; Mammalia; Lagomorpha; Leporidae. The record is from RefSeq and is a predicted model, not a curated record.